Non-coding RNA from Labrus bergylta (ballan wrasse), 403 nucleotides. The record is from RefSeq and is a predicted model, not a curated record. Lineage: Eukaryota; Metazoa; Chordata; Actinopteri; Labriformes; Labridae.
GAGAGAUAUUGUUUGGAAAUGGGACAAAGAUUGACAUCAAAGGAGCCGACAAUCAGACGGCCGUAAUAGCUCUGUCUCUGUUAUCAGCUGCUUUGGCUAUAAGCUUGAUUAUUAUAGCUUUCCUGAUUCAUAUCAUCAAGACUAAAUCGUGUGAUUCCAGCAAAGCUGCUGAAGUUCUGCAAACACAUCCUGCAGCAGAUCGACGACGCCAGCAGAGCGCUGAGGACUCAUUGGUUUAUUCUGCACCGACUUUUUCUAAGAUUAGAACGGACAAAAGAGAGAAGAGAAAAGUCAAAGCAGCAACAGAAGAGACGAUCUACACCGGGGUCAGAACUCCUCCGACUGGCUAAAAAGAUGUGCUCAUUUAAGACGUAUUAAAUAUUUGAUAUGUAUAUUAUAAGAC